RNAcentral lists this long non-coding RNA (1006 nucleotides) under Chrysemys picta bellii (western painted turtle). Its description in RNAcentral is "lncRNA (ENSCPBG00000000288.1)". Lineage: Eukaryota; Metazoa; Chordata; Testudines; Emydidae. The record is from RNAcentral.
CAAACAGCCUAUGCCUGUGAGUGAUCUGCAUGUGGACAGUUUACACUGUCUGGGAGAAAACCCACCUCAGUGACCGCUGCAAAAUUUGCAGAUCCUUCAAACCUCGGAUCAAGAAGGAGCGGGACAUUUGGCUCCAAGCCAUUUUGAUGAAGUCGUCCCUGACUCCAACACGACUGCACAGCUCUGCGUCGGCACCAAGCACCGCGGCAUCUGUGCGUGGUGACCCAACGGUACCCUCUGCCAGUCGGCACUGCUCCCUGUCCACAGUACACUCUAAAAAGACGAAGAAGAGACCUUCUCUGCCAAGGCACUGGAGCAAGGCUGGGGGAGAGACUAGACCCGCGUUGUGCAGCUCUCGGUCCCCAUCGGCCUUGCAGCCUCUGACUCAAGUUGAGCGGAGUAGCCCGGCCCACUCUGAGCCGACCUCGCUGGAUGCCAGUGGCCACAUACAGGUGCCUUCCACACCGGAGGCCCUGCAGGCAGCCCGAGACGUUAUGUCUCUACCGGUACUGUCAACAGCUCCCAGGUCCAGAGGCAAGCUGCCACUCGGACCCCCACAGUCACCACCUGGAUGGUACUGGUCACGGUCGAGGGAAGAUUCCCGACGCCGUUCUUUGCACAGUGACUGUCCCGCACGCAGCCCGCACCGGUCCCCGUCAACUCCCACCAGGUUGUCUGGCUGGGUGCCAAACAGCAGGGGUUCCAGGCACUGCUCCGCCUCAAGGGAACGCAGACCUUGUGAUGAGAGCAUGCCCCUCUGAGACCGGGACAGACAGCACCGGAAGUUGUUAUCUCUGAGAAGCUAUCGUAGCCCCUCGUGGUACGGAUGUCGACGCCGCUCCCGCUCUUCGUCCCUUUCAAGGUCCCCACCACAGCACCGCUCCCGCAGCCCCAGGCGUCAAUUGCUGUCACCCCACCAUCGUGGAUCCACCCGUCGGAGCUGUUCGCGGAGCAGCCACCUCAGACAGUACUCCCGCUCCUCCAUGCCGGGAUCACGGUCUCGUGU